This 312-nucleotide small nuclear RNA is filed under the name Chinchilla lanigera (long-tailed chinchilla). Its description in RNAcentral is "7SK RNA (ENSCLAG00000021963.1)". It matches the Rfam family "7SK RNA". Rfam says of the family: 7SK was discovered as an abundant small nuclear RNA in the mid-70s but a possible function has only recently been suggested. The record is from Rfam by way of RNAcentral. Lineage: Eukaryota; Metazoa; Chordata; Mammalia; Rodentia; Chinchillidae.
GGAUGUGAGGCGAUCUGGCUGCGACAUCUGUCACCCCAUUGAUCACCAGGGUUGAUUCGGCUCAUCUGGCGGGCUGGGCAGGUGUUCCCUUCCUCCCUCAAUGCUCCAUGUGCAUCCCUCCAGAAGCUGCAUGCUCCAUCGAAGAGAACAACCACCCCCAAUAGAGGAGGACUGUUCCUUGGUCAAGGGUAUAUAAGUAGCUGCACUCGCCUGCUAGAACCUCCAAACAAGCUCUCAAGGUCCCUUGUAGUUGCAUAUUUACUCAUGGAUUGUUUGAUUGAUGUUUAUCCUCUAUUAAACUGUAAGUUCCAU